GAAUAUUGGACAAUGGGGGCAACCCUGAUCCAGCCAUGCCGCGUGUGUGAAGAAGGCCUUCGGGUUGUAAAGCACUUUCAACAGGGAGGAAAAGCUGUCGGUUAAUACCCGGUCAGCCGUGUCGUUACCUGUAGAAGAAGCACCGGCAAACUCCGUGCCAGCAGCCGCGGUAAUACGGAGGGUGCGAGCGUUAAUCGGAAUUACUGGGCGUAAAGCGCGCGUAGGCGGCCUGUUAAGCUGGAUGUGAAAGCCCCGGGCUUAACCUGGGAACUGCAUCCAGAACUGGCAGGCUAGAGUACGGUAGAGGUGAGUGGAAUUUCCUGUGUAGCGGUGAAAUGCGUAGAUAUAGGAAGGAACAUCAGUGGCGAAGGCGGCUCACUGGACUGAUACUGACGCUGAGGUGCGAAAGCGUGGGGAGCAAACAGG
This 426-nucleotide ribosomal RNA is filed under the name uncultured bacterium. RNAcentral's name for it is "bacterial SSU rRNA". It matches the Rfam family "Bacterial small subunit ribosomal RNA", at positions 359 to 776 of the family's 1533-position model. The record is from RNAcentral.